CCUACGGGUGGCAGCAGUGGGGAAUAUUGGACAAUGGGGGCAACCCUGAUCCAGCCAUGCCGCGUGUGUGAAGAAGGCCCUCGGGUUGUAAAGCACUUUCAGUGAGGAAGAACGCCUGGUGGUUAAUACCCAUCAGGAAAGACAUCACUCACAGAAGAAGCACCGGCUAACUCCGCGCCAGCAGCCGCGGUAAUACGGAGGGUGCGAGCGUUAAUCGGAAUUACUGGGCGUAAAGCGCGCGUAGGUGGCUUGAUAAGCCGGUUGUGAAAGCCCCGGGCUCAACCUGGGAACGGCAUCCGGAACUGUCAAGCUAGAGUGCAGGAGAGGAAGGUAGAAUUCCCGGUGUAGCGGUGAAAUGCGUAGAGAUCGGGAGGAAUACCAGUGGCGAAGGCGGCCUUCUGGACUGACACUGACACUGAGGUGCGAAAGCGUGGGUAGCAAACAGGAUUAGAUACCCGAGUAGUC
RNAcentral lists this ribosomal RNA (465 nucleotides) under Vreelandella stevensii. RNAcentral describes it as "partial 16S ribosomal RNA". It matches the Rfam family "Bacterial small subunit ribosomal RNA", at positions 338 to 795 of the family's 1533-position model. The record is from RNAcentral. Lineage: Bacteria; Pseudomonadati; Pseudomonadota; Gammaproteobacteria; Oceanospirillales; Halomonadaceae.